UUGCAGCCAUAUCUAACUGAAAUACCAGUUCUCAUACAAUCACUGAAGUUAAGCAAUGUCAAGCUUAAUCAGUAGCCAGAUGGGUGACUGUUUGGCAAUACCAGGUGCUGUAAG
Acanthosepion pharaonis is the source of this 114-nucleotide non-coding RNA. The record is from the annotation of a GenBank genome assembly. NCBI's taxonomy places the organism in Eukaryota, Metazoa, Mollusca, Cephalopoda, Sepiida, Sepiidae.